UGGGGAAUUUUGGACAAUGGGGGAAACCCUGAUCCGGCCAUCCCGCGUGUGCGAUGAAGGCCUUCGGGUUGUAAAGCACUUUUGGCAGGAAAGAAACGUCAUGGGUUAAUACCCCGUGAAACUGACGGUACCUGCAGAAUAAGCACCGGCUAACUACGUGCCAGCAGCCGCGGUAAUACGUAGGGUGCAAGCGUUAAUCGGAAUUACUGGGCGUAAAGCGUGCGCAGGCGGUUCGGAAAGAAAGAUGUGAAAUCCCAGAGCUCAACUUUGGAACUGCAUUUUUAACUACCGGGCUAGAGUGUGUCAGAGGGAGGUGGAAUUCCGCGUGUAGCAGUGAAAUGCGUAGAUAUGCGGAGGAACACCGAUGGCGAAGGCAGCCUCCUGGGAUAACACUGACGCUCAUGCACGAAAGCGUGGGGAGCAAACAGG
Molecule: ribosomal RNA, 429 nt
Filed under: Acidobacteriota bacterium
Lineage: Bacteria; Pseudomonadati; Acidobacteriota
Description: Acidobacteria bacterium partial 16S ribosomal RNA
Rfam family: Bacterial small subunit ribosomal RNA
Source: RNAcentral